RNAcentral lists this ribosomal RNA (376 nucleotides) under uncultured Anaerotruncus sp. Its description in RNAcentral is "bacterial SSU rRNA". It matches the Rfam family "Bacterial small subunit ribosomal RNA", at positions 523 to 898 of the family's 1533-position model. Lineage: Bacteria; Bacillati; Bacillota; Clostridia; Eubacteriales; Oscillospiraceae. The record is from RNAcentral.
AUACGUAGGUGGCAAGCGUUGUCCGGAAUUACUGGGUGUAAAGGGAGCGUAGGCGGGUGUGUAAGUUGAAUGUGAAAUCUAUGGGCUCAACCCAUAGACUGCGUUCAAAACUGCACAUCUUGAGUGAGGUAGAGGUAAGCGGAAUUCCCGGUGUAGCGGUGGAAUGCGUAGAUAUCGGGAGGAACACCAGUGGCGAAGGCGGCUUACUGGGCCUUAACUGACGCUGAGGCUCGAAAGCGUGGGUAGCAAACAGGAUUAGAUACCCUGGUAGUCCACGCCGUAAACGAUGAUUACUAGGUGUGGGGGGACUGACCCCUUCCGUGCCGGAGUUAACACAAUAAGUAAUCCACCUGGGGAGUACGACCGCAAGGUUGAA